RNAcentral lists this ribosomal RNA (478 nucleotides) under uncultured bacterium. Its description in RNAcentral is "partial 16S ribosomal RNA". It matches the Rfam family "Bacterial small subunit ribosomal RNA", at positions 28 to 523 of the family's 1533-position model. The record is from RNAcentral.
GACGAACGCUGGCGGCAUGCCUAACACAUGCAAGUCGAGCGAGUUGAUCCCUUCGGGGUGAAGCUAGCGGCGGACGGGUGAGUAACACGUGGGCAACCUGCCUCAUAGAGGGGAAUAGCCUUCCGAAAGGAAGAUUAAUACCGCAUAAGAUUGUAGCUUCGCAUGAAGCAGCAAUUAAAGGAGCAAUCCGCUAUGAGAUGGGCCCGCGGCGCAUUAGCUAGUUGGUGAGGUAACGGCUCACCAAGGCGACGAUGCGUAGCCGACCUGAGAGGGUGAUCGGCCACAUUGGGACUGAGACACGGCCCAGACUCCUACGGGAGGCAGGAGUGGGGAAUAUUGCACAAUGGGGGAAACCCUGAGGCAGCAAUGCCGCGUGAGUGAUGACAGCCUUCGGGUUGUAAAGCUCUGUCUUCGGGGACGAUAAUGACGGUACCCGAGGAGGAAGCCACGGCUAACUACGUGCCAGCCGCCGCGGUAA